This 373-nucleotide long non-coding RNA is filed under the name Rattus norvegicus (Norway rat). RNAcentral describes it as "long non-coding RNA NONRATT015150". The record is from RNAcentral. Lineage: Eukaryota; Metazoa; Chordata; Mammalia; Rodentia; Muridae.
UGGGAGGGAGAGCUAAACCUUCAGAGAGGCAGACACGCCUGGGAAACCAGAAGAGACUACACUCUGCCCACAUUACUGAUUCCAGAGGAAAACACCAAACGCCAUCUGGAACCCUGGUGCACGGAAGCUCCCGGAAAGGGUGGCGCAGAUCUUCCUGAUUGCUGCCCCCACGGAGAGCUCAUAAGCAACACCCCAUGAGCAAACCUGAGCCUCGGGACCACAGGUAAGACAAACCUUCCUACUCCAAGCGACCUGCCUGGUGAACUCAAGACACAGGCCCACAGGAACAGCUGAAGACCUGUAGAGAGGAAAAACUACACGCCCGAAAGCAGAACACUCUGUCCCCAUAACUGACUGAAAGAAAACAGGAAAA